This 292-nucleotide ribosomal RNA is filed under the name uncultured bacterium. RNAcentral's name for it is "partial 16S ribosomal RNA". It matches the Rfam family "Bacterial small subunit ribosomal RNA", at positions 505 to 796 of the family's 1533-position model. The record is from RNAcentral.
GUGUCAGCCGCCGCGGUAAUACAGAGGGUGCGAGCGUUAAUCGGAGUUACUGGGUGUAAAGGGCGCGUAGGCGGUGAUAUGUGUGUGAUGUGAAAGCCCCGGGCUUAACCUGGGAAGUGCAUCGCAAACUGUAUGACUGGAGUAUAUGAGAGGGUGGCGGAAUUUCCGGUGUAGCGGUGAAAUGCGUAGAGAUCGGAAGGAACGUCGAUGGCGAAGGCAGCCACCUGGCAUAAUACUGACGCUGAGGCGCGAAAGCGUGGGGAGCGAACAGGAUUAGAAACCCCUGUAGUCC